This is a long non-coding RNA of Gigantopelta aegis, 1394 nucleotides long. RefSeq lists it as uncharacterized. The record is from RefSeq and is a predicted model, not a curated record. The transcript is spliced from 2 exons. NCBI's taxonomy places the organism in Eukaryota, Metazoa, Mollusca, Gastropoda, Neomphalida, Peltospiridae.
UUAAUAUGUGUACUAUAGUGCUGUCGUUAAACAAAAACAAAAACACGCAACACACAGUUACUAGUUGGUGCUCAACACCAGUGGAGAAUGACACAGAUAAACAACUUCCGGGUUAGUUGUCAAAAUGGUUUGCGUUCCAUGCAUCGUAAUUCCUUUUUUAUUGUGGUUCUUCCAUCGAUAUUGUAAACCAUGGAUUGCAAAAAUGUUUCCAUCAUGGUUUCCACAAAAGGUUGAAGAAGAGAAAUCGCCUGAUUUAUCAGCAGGGGACACAAAGAUCCUGGAAGGGGAAAACCAAAAGGUGGCACAGAAUGGAGUGGCAAAUGGUGUUUGUAACGGUCAAACAGUAACAGCAGGUGAUGAUUCUAAAAAAGACAAAUAGUGAAUAGCCAAAAACACCUCUUGUUCCGGUAUGGAACACGUAUGAAUCAAGAAUUGCGAUACAGAUGAACAGCAAGACUGCAAGGAGUUUACUACCAUGAAGCCUAUUCAGAUUUUUAUUUAUCAUUGUAGACAAAAUUAAUGUAUAUAAAUUAAUACUAGGGAAGAUGUGAAAAAUCUUGCUCCUUUUUUUUUCUCAUUUAAAUUAAGGAUUGACAUAAAAUGAAUAAUCAAGCUUAUGGUUAAGCUUUUAAAAACUACUUUAUCGUAAACAUACAUGUAUUGUGCAAUAGGUGUUUUGUUAAUUUUACAAAAAAGAUUUAUUUGAUUUGUAUUAUAAAUCAUAAUGAUGUAUGUAUAAUUAAGAGAAAAUGACUAUGCAUCUUCAGCAAAUAAGCAAAAGACGUUGAAACACCUAAACUUAUAAUAAAUAGGAAUAGGAUUGGAGAAAACAUAUUUCAGGCAAUAUAUGAUAAUUAUAUAUUUAAGUCUCAUGCUACAAUCAUUUGCUGGCAUUCUGGUGUCUGGGGGGAGGGGGGAGCACUGGCUAUGCCCCUCCCCACAUCAAACUUCUUUUUUUUAACUAUUAAAUUUUAUAAAAUCAUCCAUACAUAGUGUAUGUGUUGGUGCCCCAAUAUAAAAUGAUGCUUAGGGGUUUGGGUUUUUUUUUUUUUAAUUCUGAAUGUCCUGUCUCAGCCUUGUACAAGUAUAUGUAUCCUGUUUUUUUUAAUGUUUCUUUUUUUUAAUUUACCAAUAAUUCUUCUAUUUUUUGUAUUAAAACAUUGAAAUUAAUUUAUUCUGAGCUUUUGUAUUAUAAAAAAAUAAGUGGAUGACUUGCUCCAUAUUUUGUAAAAUGGGUGACAUUUCAGAUUUUGGGCUCAAGUUUCCAUUUAGUGUUCUCUCUAGUUAUUCUACACUUAAUGAGAUAUUCUUCUUUGUGGAUAACAAAUAUGAUCAACAUUGAACAUUUAGCAUUCUGUCAAAUUGUAAGUUGAUAAAUAAAUGUUAAAAUCCAA